AGUCGAACGAAUCUUAGGAACUUCGGUUCCUUGGGUUAGUGGCGAACGGGUGAGUAACACGUGGAUAACCUGCCCUAGACAGGGGGAUAACGGUGAGAAAUCAUCGCUAAUACCGCAUAAUCUGACGGUACCGCAUGGUAUUGUCGGCAAAGGAGAAAUCCGGUAUAGGAGGGAUCCGCGGCUGAUUAGCCAGUUGGCAGGGUAACGGCCUACCAAAGCGACGAUCAGUAGCCGGUCUGAGAGGACGAACGGCCACAUUGGGACUGAGACACGGCCCAAACUCCUACGGGAGGCAGCAGUGGGGAAUAUUGCACAAUGGGGGAAACCCUGAUGCAGCGACGCCGCGUGAAGGAAGACGGCCUUCGGGUUGUAAACUUCUAUCGACAGGGACGAAGCAAGUGACGGUACCUGAGUAAGAAGCCCCGGCUAACUACGUGCCAGCAGCCGCGGUAAUACGUAGGGGGCAAGCGUUAUCCGGAAUUACUGGGCGUAAAGGGUGAGUAGGCGGCGGUACAAGUCACAUGUGGAAGGCCAGAGCUUAACUGUGGCAUUGCAUGAGAAACUGUACGGCUUGAGUGCGGGAGAGGUAAGCGGAAUUCCUAGUGUAGCGGUGAAAUGCGUAGAUAUUAGGAAGAACACCAGUGGCGAAGGCGGCUUACUGGACCGCAACUGACGCUGAUUCACGAAAGCGUGGGGAGCAAACAGGAUUAGAUACCCUGGUAGUCCACGCUGUAAACGAUGAGCGCUAGGUGUCGGGGGGAGACCUUCGGUGCCGGAGCAAACGCAAUAAGCGCUCCGCCUGGGGAGUACGUACGCAAGUAUGAAACUCAAAGGAAUUGACGGGGGCCCGCACAAGCGGUGGAGCAUGUGGUUUAACUCGAUGCAACGCGAAGAACCUUACCAAGAUUUGACAUAGAGACGACGGGGUUAGAGAUAACCCGUCCCUUCGGGGCGUCUCAUACAGGUGGUGCAUGGUUGUCGUCAGCUCGUGUCGUGAGAUGUUGGGUUAAGUCCCGCAACGAGCGCAACCCCUAUCUUUAGUAGCCAGCGGGCAAGCCGGGCACUCUAGAGAGACUGCCGUGGAUAACACGGAGGAAGGCGGGGAUGAGGUCAAAUCAUCAUGCCCUUUAUGUCUUGGGCAACACACGUGCUACAAUGGCUGCAACAAAGUGAAGCAAGCAGGCGACUGCAAGCAAAACACAAAAAAGCAGUCUCAGUUCGGAUUGCAGUCUGCAACUCGACUGCAUGAAGCUGGAAUCGCUAGUAAUCGCGGAUCAGCAUGUCGCGGUGAAUACGUUCCCGGGCCUUGUACACACCGCCCGUCACACCAUGGGAGUCGGAAGCGCCCGAAAACGGUGGCCGAAC
This 1365-nucleotide ribosomal RNA is filed under the name uncultured bacterium. Its description in RNAcentral is "bacterial SSU rRNA". It matches the Rfam family "Bacterial small subunit ribosomal RNA". The record is from RNAcentral.